UACGACAACAAACGGCUGCAGUUUAUGUACCAUAUGAACGAAUCUAGAUGUUCAGCAUUGGAUGGCUCAUCAUCUCACUUCCAGACUGCCAAGCACGACACUGCAAGCUUGGGAGCUCCAUCUCGGUAGCUCUGCCGAACUUGCCACCUUUUCUCAGCUACAAUCACUUCUCAACGACCGACUCGUCAGCAUCGAUGUGUUCGAAAACCGAGGCCACUCCACGACGCGGACACCUGUGCCGCAGCCUGUCAAUCAAAGGCACCCGAAGAAGUCAGUUGGCAACGUAACA
Molecule: long non-coding RNA, 289 nt
Organism: Drosophila miranda
Lineage: Eukaryota; Metazoa; Arthropoda; Insecta; Diptera; Drosophilidae
Exons: 2
Source: RefSeq, a predicted model, not a curated record